Molecule: ribosomal RNA, 467 nt
Filed under: uncultured bacterium
Lineage: Bacteria
Description: partial 16S ribosomal RNA
Rfam family: Bacterial small subunit ribosomal RNA
Source: RNAcentral
GACGAACGCUGGUGGCGUGCUUAACACAUGCAAGUCGAACGGAAAGGCCCUGCUUUUGUGGGGUGCUCGAGUGGCGAACGGGUGAGUAACACGUGAGUAACCUGCCCUUGACUUUGGGAUAACUUCAGGAAACUGGGGCUAAUACCGGAUAGGAGCUCCUGCUGCAUGGUGGGGGUUGGAAAGUUUCGGCGGUUGGGGAUGGACUCGCGGCUUAUCAGCUUGUUGGUGGGGUAGUGGCUUACCAAGGCUUUGACGGGUAGCCGGCCUGAGAGGGUGACCGGCCACAUUGGGACUGAGAUACGGCCCAGACUCCUACGGGAGGCAGCAGUGGGGAAUAUUGCACAAUGGGCGGAAGCCUGAUGCAGCAACGCCGCGUGCGGGAUGACGGCCUUCGGGUUGUAAACCGCUUUCGCCUGUGACGAAGCGCGAGUGACGGUAAUGGGUAAAGAAGCACCGGCUAACUACGU